This 1343-nucleotide ribosomal RNA is filed under the name uncultured bacterium. Its description in RNAcentral is "16S ribosomal RNA". It matches the Rfam family "Bacterial small subunit ribosomal RNA", at positions 28 to 1378 of the family's 1533-position model. The record is from RNAcentral.
GACGAACGCUGGCGGCGUGCUUAACACAUGCAAGUCGAACGGAAAGGCCCUGCUUUUGUGGGGUGCUCGAGUGGCGAACGGGUGAGUAACACGUGAGUAACCUGCCCUUGACUUUGGGAUAACUUCAGGAAACUGGGGCUAAUACCGGAUAGGAGCUCCUGCUGCAUGGUGGGGGUUGGAAAGUUUCGGCGGUUGGGGAUGGACUCGCGGCUUAUCAGCUUGUUGGUGGGGUAGUGGCUUACCAAGGCUUUGACGGGUAGCCGGCCUGAGAGGGUGACCGGCCACAUUGGGACUGAGAUACGGCCCAGACUCCUACGGGAGGCAGCAGUGGGGAAUAUUGCACAAUGGGCGGAAGCCCGAUGCAGCAACGCCGCGUGCGGGAUGACGGCCUUCGGGUUGUAAACCGCUUUCGCCUGUGACGAAGCGUGAGUGACGGUAAUGGGUAAAGAAGCACCGGCUAACUACGUGCCAGCAGCCGCGGUGAUACGUAGGGUGCGAGCGUUGUCCGGAUUUAUUGGGCGUAAAGGGCUCGUAGGUGGUUGAUCGCGUCGGAAGUGUAAUCUUGGGGCUUAACCCUGAGCGUGCUUUCGAUACGGGUUGACUUGAGGAAGGUAGGGGAGAAUGGAAUUCCUGGUGGAGCGGUGGAAUGCGCAGAUAUCAGGAGGAACACCAGUGGCGAAGGCGGUUCUCUGGGCCUUUCCUGACGCUGAGGAGCGAAAGCGUGGGGAGCGAACAGGCUUAGAUACCCUGGUAGUCCACGCUGUAAACGGUGGGUACUAGGUGUGGGGUCCAUUCCACGGGUUCCGUGCCGUAGCUAGCGCUUUAAGUACCCCGCCUGGGGAGUACGGCCGCAAGGCUAAAACUCAAAGGAAUUGACGGGGCCCCGCACAAGCGGCGGAGCAUGCGGAUUAAUUCGAUGCAACGCGUAGAACCUUACCUGGGUUUGACAUGGAUCGGGAGUGCUCAGAGAUGGGUGUGCCUCUUUUGGGGUCGGUUCACAGGUGGUGCAUGGCUGUCGUCAGCUCGUGUCGUGAGAUGUUGGGUUAAGUCCCGCAACGAGCGCAACCCUUGUUCACUGUUGCCAGCACGUUAUGGUGGGGACUCAGUGGAGACCGCCGGGGUCAACUCGGAGGAAGGUGGGGAUGACGUCAAGUCAUCAUGCCCCUUAUGUCCAGGGCUUCACGCAUGCUACAAUGGCUGGUACAGAGAGUGGCGAGCCUGUGAGGGUGAGCGAAUCUCGGAAAGCCGGUCUCAGUUCGGAUUGGGGUCUGCAACUCGACCUCAUGAAGUCGGAGUCGCUAGUAAUCGCAGAUCAGCAACGCUGCGGUGAAUAAGUUCCCGGG